UACGGGGGGGGCAAGCGUUGUUCGGAAUUACUGGGCGUAAAGGGCGCGUAGGCGGCCUUCUAAGUCGGACGUGAAAUCCCUCGGCUUAACCGAGGAACUGCGUCCGAUACUGGAAGGCUUGAAUCCGGGAGAGGGAUGUGGAAUUCCAGGUGUAGCGGUGAAAUGCGUAGAUAUCUGGAGGAGCACCGGUGGCGAAGGCGGCAUCCUGGACCGGCAUUGACGCUGAGGCGCGAAAGCUAGGGGAGCAAACGGG
RNAcentral lists this ribosomal RNA (253 nucleotides) under uncultured bacterium. RNAcentral's name for it is "partial 16S ribosomal RNA". It matches the Rfam family "Bacterial small subunit ribosomal RNA", at positions 524 to 776 of the family's 1533-position model. The record is from RNAcentral.